Pogonomyrmex barbatus (red harvester ant) is the source of this 1040-nucleotide long non-coding RNA. RefSeq lists it as uncharacterized. The record is from RefSeq and is a predicted model, not a curated record. NCBI's taxonomy places the organism in Eukaryota, Metazoa, Arthropoda, Insecta, Hymenoptera, Formicidae.
AACGUUUACUCAAUCUCACAGAUUGUAAGUCCAAACGCGAAUAGUUUUUAACACAAAAACUUAUUAUUUACACGUCACACUUAAGCAAAGUCUAUAUAAUCUUGGAUAACGUUAGUUUUUGUCGUGAUUUCAACCUUGCUCUUGUAAAAAUAUAAUUGCAAAUAAGAAACUACACCGAGCAUAUCUAUUAGGCCAAUGAUUUCAUCAUUCGUUUAGUCAGUUAUUCUCGAUACUCUUUGCUUCCAGAAAAUCUUUUAUGUAAUCUAUUCCACACCAAGAACGAAGAGCAACGAGUCGACCUCUCUCAAUUUCAUCUUCUCCUUAUAUGUCAAAGCGAUAACCACACGCGAUUUAUACGUGACAGUCCUCCCUGCUUUUCCAUUUAUCCAGAUGAUCAGCCUCAGAUAACAAGUUCUAAUUCAGCAACCUUUUAUAUGAGCUCGAACGGAAUAACAGUUUUGAAAAAUAAGAGAGCCUUCUUUCAACGAGGAAAAAAGUGUGCUUAACGUAAAGUUCAGUAAUUUCAUUCCAGUACUAUUUUACAAUUCUAUGAAAAUCUUAUAAAGAUUUGGAAAUUCGAAGGAAACGAAAUAUUUCUUCUUUUUAUUUUCAUUCAUGAGAUUGAGUCUUUGAAUCUUCGAGGAUCUACAAAACUCGUUACGAUGUUUCUUCCACGAGCACAUUAUCCGUUGCACAAAAUCCCACUCGGUCCCACUCAGAGAGAUCUCCCCUCUCGAUAUCUGUAUUACAGAAGCCACACGAACGAGAUGAGAUAUCGAUCCGCGACAUUCACGUUUACGAUCGAGACGAGUCGAUUGCGCGGUCGACUCCGGUUUUACGAAGUGAAACGCACGCCGCGCGAUAAAUACGCGUGACGGUGCCUCUUGUUUGAAGACUGUUAACGACGGCAAAGUGAGGAGGGCUUCACUGAAAGAAGAUAGAAUUUUUUAUAAUACAGCAUUGGAUUCUCUUUUCCUUACCUCAUAUUAGUAUAAGAGGCGACGGCUGUUGCAAGAUCAGAUGCUGCGAGAGCGGAUAAC